RNAcentral lists this ribosomal RNA (458 nucleotides) under uncultured bacterium. RNAcentral's name for it is "bacterial SSU rRNA". It matches the Rfam family "Bacterial small subunit ribosomal RNA", at positions 338 to 795 of the family's 1533-position model. The record is from RNAcentral.
CCUACGGGGGGCUGCAGUCGAGAAUCUUCGGCAAUGGGCGAAAGCCUGACCGAGCGACGCCGCGUGCGGGAUGAAGGCCCUCGGGUUGUAAACCGCUGUCAGUGGGGAGGAAGGCUCUGUGAAGAGCAGGGUUUGACCUAUCCGCAGAGGAAGUCCGGGCUAAGUUCGUGCCAGCAGCCGCGGUAACACGAACCGGGCAAACGUUAUUCGGAAUCACUGGGCUUAAAGGGUGCGUAGGCGGCCUGACAAGUUGGGUGUGAAAUCCCUCGGCUCAACCGAGGAAUUGCGCUCAAAACUGUUGGGCUCGAGGGAGUUAGAGGUAAGCGGAACUUAGGGUGGAGCGGUGAAAUGCGUUGAUAUCCUAAGGAACACCAGUGGCGAAAGCGGCUUACUGGAGCUCUUCUGACGCUGAGGCACGAAAGCCAGGGGAGCGAACGGGAUUAGAUACCCCGGUAGUC